GCUAUGACCAUGAUUACGCCAAGCUAUUUAGGUGACACUAUAGAAUACUCAAGCUAUGCAUCCAACGCGUUGGGAGCUCUCCCAUAUGGUCGACCUGCAGGCGGCCGCACUAGUGAUUGUAGUCAUAUGCUUGUCUCAAAGAUUAAGCCAUGCAUGUCUAAGUAUAAGCACUUUAUACUGUGAAACUGCGAAUGGCUCAUUAAAUCAGUUAUCGUUUAUUUGAUAGUACCUUACUACAUGGAUACCUGUGGUAAUUCUAGAGCUAAUACAUGCUAAAAACCCCGACUUCGGAAGGGGUGUAUUUAUUAGAUAAAAAACCAAUGCCCUUCGGGGCUCCUUGGUGAUUCAUAAUAACUUAACGAAUCGCAUGGCCUUGCGCCGGCGAUGGUUCAUUCAAAUUUCUGCCCUAUCAACUUUCGAUGGUAGGAUAGUGGCCUACCAUGGUGGCAACGGGUAACGGGGAAUUAGGGUUCGAUUCCGGAGAGGGAGCCUGAGAAACGGCUACCACAUCCAAGGAAGGCAGCAGGCGCGCAAAUUACCCAAUCCCGACACGGGGAGGUAGUGACAAUAAAUACUGAUACGGGGCUCUUUCGGGUCUCGUAAUUGGAAUGAGUACAAUCUAAAUCCCUUAACGAGGAACAAUUGGAGGGCAAGCCUGGUGCCAGCAGCCGCGGUAAUUCCAGCUCCAAUAGCGUAUA
This 698-nucleotide ribosomal RNA is filed under the name uncultured Ascomycota. Its description in RNAcentral is "partial 18S ribosomal RNA". The stretch from base 108 to 698 matches the Rfam family "Eukaryotic small subunit ribosomal RNA", at positions 1 to 603 of the family's 1831-position model. Lineage: Eukaryota; Fungi; Ascomycota. The record is from RNAcentral.